Non-coding RNA from Cajanus cajan (pigeon pea), 99 nucleotides. Lineage: Eukaryota; Viridiplantae; Streptophyta; Magnoliopsida; Fabales; Fabaceae. The record is from Rfam.
CUAACAGAGUUUAUUGGCAUUCUGUCCACCUCCGCUUCUUCUUCUUCUUUCUCACCCACAAGCUUGGAGGUGGGCAUACUGCCAACUGAUCUCUGUUAA